UUAAAUUGAAGAGUUUGAUCAUGGCUCAGAUUGAACGCUGGCGGCAGGCCUAACACAUGCAAGUCGAACGGUAACACAGAGAGCUUG
This 87-nucleotide ribosomal RNA is filed under the name Salmonella enterica subsp. enterica serovar Bere. RNAcentral describes it as "partial 16S ribosomal RNA". It matches the Rfam family "Bacterial small subunit ribosomal RNA", at positions 1 to 86 of the family's 1533-position model. Lineage: Bacteria; Pseudomonadati; Pseudomonadota; Gammaproteobacteria; Enterobacterales; Enterobacteriaceae. The record is from RNAcentral.